UCUAGCGACUAAGCGUACACGGUGGAUGCCCUGGCAGUCAGAGGCGAUGAAGGACGUGCUAAUCUGCGAUAAGCGUCGGUAAGGUGAUAUGAACCGUUAUAACCGGCGAUUUCCGAAUGGGGAAACCCAGUGUGUUUCGACACACUAUCAUUAACUGAAUCCAUAGGUUAAUGAGGCGAACCGGGGGAACUGAAACAUCUAAGUACCCCGAGGAAAAGAAAUCAACCGAGAUUCCCCCAGUAGCGGCGAGCGAACGGGGAGCAGCCCAGAGCCUGAAUCAGUGUGUGUGUUAGUGGAAGCGUCUGGAAAGGCGCGCGAUACAGGGUGACAGCCCCGUACACAAAAAUGCACAUGCUGUGAGCUCGAUGAGUAGGGCGGGACACGUGGUAUCCUGUCUGAAUAUGGGGGGACCAUCCUCCAAGGCUAAAUACUCCUGACUGACCGAUAGUGAACCAGUACCGUGAGGGAAAGGCGAAAAGAACCCCGGCGAGGGGAGUGAAAAAGAACCUGAAACCGUGUACGUACAAGCAGUGGGAGCACGCUUAGGCGUGUGACUGCGUACCUUUUGUAUAAUGGGUCAGCGACUUAUAUUCUGUAGCAAGGUUAACCGAAUAGGGGAGCCGAAGGGAAACCGAGUCUUAACUGGGCGUUAAGUUGCAGGGUAUAGACCCGAAACCCGGUGAUCUAGCCAUGGGCAGGUUGAAGGUUGGGUAACACUAACUGGAGGACCGAACCGACUAAUGUUGAAAAAUUAGCGGAUGACUUGUGGCUGGGGGUGAAAGGCCAAUCAAACCGGGAGAUAGCUGGUUCUCCCCGAAAGCUAUUUAGGUAGCGCCUCGUGAAUUCAUCUCCGGGGGUAGAGCACUGUUUCGGCAAGGGGGUCAUCCCGACUUACCAACCCGAUGCAAACUGCGAAUACCGGAGAAUGUUAUCACGGGAGACACACGGCGGGUGCUAACGUCCGUCGUGAAGAGGGAAACAACCCAGACCGCCAGCUAAGGUCCCAAAGUCAUGGUUAAGUGGGAAACGAUGUGGGAAGGCCCAGACAGCCAGGAUGUUGGCUUAGAAGCAGCCAUCAUUUAAAGAAAGCGUAAUAGCUCACUGGUCGAGUCGGCCUGCGCGGAAGAUGUAACGGGGCUAAACCAUGCACCGAAGCUGCGGCAGCGACGCUUAUGCGUUGUUGGGUAGGGGAGCGUUCUGUAAGCCUGCGAAGGUGUGCUGUGAGGCAUGCUGGAGGUAUCAGAAGUGCGAAUGCUGACAUAAGUAACGAUAAAGCGGGUGAAAAGCCCGCUCGCCGGAAGACCAAGGGUUCCUGUCCAACGUUAAUCGGGGCAGGGUGAGUCGACCCCUAAGGCGAGGCCGAAAGGCGUAGUCGAUGGGAAACAGGUUAAUAUUCCUGUACUUGGUGUUACUGCGAAGGGGGGACGGAGAAGGCUAUGUUGGCCGGGCGACGGUUGUCCCGGUUUAAGCGUGUAGGCUGGUUUUCCAGGCAAAUCCGGAAAAUCAAGGCUGAGGCGUGAUGACGAGGCACUACGGUGCUGAAGCAACAAAUGCCCUGCUUCCAGGAAAAGCCUCUAAGCAUCAGGUAACAUCAAAUCGUACCCCAAACCGACACAGGUGGUCAGGUAGAGAAUACCAAGGCGCUUGAGAGAACUCGGGUGAAGGAACUAGGCAAAAUGGUGCCGUAACUUCGGGAGAAGGCACGCUGAUAUGUAGGUGAAGCGACUUGCUCGUGGAGCUGAAAUCAGUCGAAGAUACCAGCUGGCUGCAACUGUUUAUUAAAAACACAGCACUGUGCAAACACGAAAGUGGACGUAUACGGUGUGACGCCUGCCCGGUGCCGGAAGGUUAAUUGAUGGGGUUAGCGCAAGCGAAGCUCUUGAUCGAAGCCCCGGUAAACGGCGGCCGUAACAAUAACGGUCCUAAGGUAGCGAAAUUCCUUGUCGGGUAAGUUCCGACCUGCACGAAUGGCGUAAUGAUGGCCAGGCUGUCUCCACCCGAGACUCAGUGAAAUUGAACUCGCUGUGAAGAUGCAGUGUACCCGCGGCAAGACGGAAAGACCCCGUGAACCUUUACUAUAGCUUGACACUGAACAUUGAGCCUUGAUGUGUAGGAUAGGUGGGAGGCUUUGAAGUGUGGACGCCAGUCUGCAUGGAGCCGACCUUGAAAUACCACCCUUUAAUGUUUGAUGUUCUAACGUGGACCCGUGAUCCGGGUUGCGGACAGUGUCUGGUGGGUAGUUUGACUGGGGCGGUCUCCUCCCAAAGAGUAACGGAGGAGCACGAAGGUUGGCUAAUCCUGGUCGGACAUCAGGAGGUUAGUGCAAUGGCAUAAGCCAGCUUGACUGCGAGCGUGACGGCGCGAGCAGGUGCGAAAGCAGGUCAUAGUGAUCCGGUGGUUCUGAAUGGAAGGGCCAUCGCUCAACGGAUAAAAGGUACUCCGGGGAUAACAGGCUGAUACCGCCCAAGAGUUCAUAUCGACGGCGGUGUUUGGCACCUCGAUGUCGGCUCAUCACAUCCUGGGGCUGAAGUAGGUCCCAAGGGUAUGGCUGUUCGCCAUUUAAAGUGGUACGCGAGCUGGGUUUAGAACGUCGUGAGACAGUUCGGUCCCUAUCUGCCGUGGGCGCUGGAGAACUGAGGGGGGCUGCUCCUAGUACGAGAGGACCGGAGUGGACGCAUCACUGGUGUUCGGGUUGUCAUGCCAAUGGCACUGCCCGGUAGCUAAAUGCGGAAGAGAUAAGUGCUGAAAGCAUCUAAGCACGAAACUUGCCCCGAGAUGAGUUCUCCCUGACUCCUUGAGAGUCCUGAAGGAACGUUGAAGACGACGACGUUGAUAGGCCGGGUGUGUAAGCGCAGCGAUGCGUUGAGCUAACCGGUACUAAUGAAC
RNAcentral lists this ribosomal RNA (2886 nucleotides) under human gut metagenome. Its description in RNAcentral is "bacterial LSU rRNA". It matches the Rfam family "Bacterial large subunit ribosomal RNA". The record is from RNAcentral.